Molecule: ribosomal RNA, 1176 nt
Filed under: uncultured Bacillus sp.
Lineage: Bacteria; Bacillati; Bacillota; Bacilli; Caryophanales; Bacillaceae
Description: bacterial SSU rRNA
Rfam family: Bacterial small subunit ribosomal RNA
Source: RNAcentral
UCGGCUGUCACUUACAGAUGGACCCGCGGCGCAUUAGCUAGUUGGUGGGGUAAUGGCUCACCAAGGCGACGAUGCGUAGCCGACCUGAGAGGGUGAUCGGCCACACUGGGACUGAGACACGGCCCAGACUCCUACGGGAGGCAGCAGUAGGGAAUCUUCCGCAAUGGACGAAAGUCUGACGGAGCAACGCCGCGUGAGUGAUGAAGGUUUUCGGAUCGUAAAGCUCUGUUGUUAGGGAAGAACAAGUGCGAGAGUAACUGCUCGCACCUUGACGGUACCUAACCAGAAAGCCACGGCUAACUACGUGCCAGCAGCCGCGGUAAUACGUAGGUGGCAAGCGUUGUCCGGAAUUAUUGGGCGUAAAGGGCUCGCAGGCGGUUUCUUAAGUCUGAUGUGAAAGCCCCCGGCUCAACCGGGGAGGGUCAUUGGAAACUGGGAAACUUGAGUGCAGAAGAGGAGAGUGGAAUUCCACGUGUAGCGGUGAAAUGCGUAGAGAUGUGGAGGAACNANCNCNANGUGGCGAAGGCGACUCUCUGGUCUGUAACUGACGCUGAGGAGCGAAAGCGUGGGGAGCGAACAGGAUUAGAUACCCUGGUAGUCCACGCCGUAAACGAUGAGUGCUAAGUGUUAGGGGGUUUCCGCCCCUUAGUGCUGCAGCUAACGCAUUAAGCACUCCGCCUGGGGAGUNACGGUCGCAAGACUGAAACUCAAAGGAAUUGACGGGGGCCCGCACAAGCGGUGGAGCAUGUGGUUUAAUUCGAAGCAACGCGAAGAACCUUACCAGGUCUUGACAUCCUCUGACAACCCUAGAGAUAGGGCUUUCCCUUCGGGGACAGAGUGACAGGUGGUGCAUGGUUGUCGUCAGCUCGUGUCGUGAGAUGUUGGGUUAAGUCCCGCAACGAGCGCAACCCUUGAUCUUAGUUGCCAGCAUUCAGUUGGGCACUCUAAGGUGACUGCCGGUGACAAACCGGAGGAAGGUGGGGAUGACGUCAAAUCAUCAUGCCCCUUAUGACCUGGGCUACACACGUGCUACAAUGGACAGAACAAAGGGCUGCAAGACCGCAAGGUUUAGCCAAUCCCAUAAAUCUGUUCUCAGUUCGGAUCGCAGUCUGCAACUCGACUGCGUGAAGCUGGAAUCGCUAGUAAUCGCGGAUCAGCAUGCCGCGGUGAAUACGU